GGAGAUGUUGCCGAGCGGUCUAAGGCGCUAGGAGGACCCAUAACCGGGUCGUGGGUUCGUAUCCCACCUUCUCCG
This 75-nucleotide transfer RNA is filed under the name Candidatus Tremblayella princeps. RNAcentral's name for it is "Candidatus Tremblaya princeps tRNA-Undetermined". It matches the Rfam family "tRNA". From Rfam's summary of the family: Transfer RNA (tRNA) molecules are approximately 80 nucleotides in length. Their secondary structure includes four short double-helical elements and three loops (D, anti-codon, and T loops). The record is from RNAcentral. Lineage: Bacteria; Pseudomonadati; Pseudomonadota; Betaproteobacteria.